Molecule: ribosomal RNA, 258 nt
Filed under: uncultured archaeon
Lineage: Archaea
Description: partial 16S ribosomal RNA
Rfam family: Archaeal small subunit ribosomal RNA
Source: RNAcentral
UAGCCGUAAACGAUACUCGCUAGGUGUCGGCCACGGUGCGACCGUUGUCGGUGCCGUAGGGAAGCCGUGAAGCGAGCCACCUGGGAAGUACGGCCGCAAGGCUGAAACUUAAAGGAAUUGGCGGGGGAGCACCACAACGGGUGGAGCUUGCGGUUUAAUUGGAUUCAACGCCGGAAAUCUUACCGGGACCGACAGCAACAUGAAGGCCAGGCUGAAGACUUUGCCGGAUUAGCUGAGAGGUGGUGCAUGGCGUAGUCG